GCCUCAUGCCCAAGCUGAUUCUUACGUUAGUCACGUGUCCAGACUCUGCCAUGUGGUGAAUAGCUCAUACCAUCACCAACACCGUAAAUAUGAUGCGCCUGAACCCUCAGCUGUCCAGUUAUCCUGCAGUUCCCAGGAUGCUGUGUGAAUGGCCCCACGUCCCUCUCAUGGCUUCCUCCUCAGGCUGCUCACUGCCGCUCCUGCUGCUGGGCCUCUGUGUGUCACCCACUGAUCUGACCACCUCUCUGUACUUGGAGAAAAUGCUUCUCCCCCAAGCUCAGAGCUGGCCCUUCUCUUAACUCCUCCUAGGACAGUAAAGCCCAUGCCG
RNAcentral lists this long non-coding RNA (328 nucleotides) under Homo sapiens (human). Its description in RNAcentral is "LHRI_LNC1521.1". The record is from RNAcentral. Lineage: Eukaryota; Metazoa; Chordata; Mammalia; Primates; Hominidae.